CAGUAGCCGCGGUAAUACGAAGGGUGCAAGCGUUAAUCGGAAUUACUGGGCGUAAAGCGUGCGUAGGCGGUGAGUUAAGUCUGCUGUGAAAUCCCCGGGCUCAACCUGGGAAUGGCAGUGGAUACUGGCUCGCUAGAGUGUGUCAGAGGAUGGUGGAAUUCCCGGUGUAGCGGUGAAAUGCGUAGAGAUCGGGAGGAACAUCAGUGGCGAAGGCGGCCACCUGGGAUAACACUGACGCUGAGGCACGAAAGCGUGGGGAGCAAACAGGAUUAGAUACCCCAGUAGUCCCUGUCUCUUAUAA
RNAcentral lists this ribosomal RNA (301 nucleotides) under uncultured bacterium. Its description in RNAcentral is "partial 16S ribosomal RNA". It matches the Rfam family "Bacterial small subunit ribosomal RNA", at positions 509 to 809 of the family's 1533-position model. The record is from RNAcentral.